UUUCCGUAGGUGAACCUGCGGAGGGAUCAUUAUUGUAUAACCGAGGUGCGAGGGCUGUCGCUGACCCGAAAGGUCGUGCACGCCCGAGUGCUCUCACACACAUCCAUCUCACCCCUAUGUGCACCACCGCGUGGGUCCCCCUUUGGCUUGUUCGGAGGGGGGCUUACGUUUUCACACAAACUUUGUAUGCAGUGUAGAAUGUAUUUUUUGUUUUUGCGAUCACGCAAUCAAUACAACUUUCAACAACGGAUCUCUUGGCUCUC
This 263-nucleotide unclassified non-coding RNA is filed under the name plant metagenome. Its description in RNAcentral is "partial contains small subunit ribosomal RNA, internal transcribed spacer 1, and 5.8S ribosomal RNA". The record is from RNAcentral.